RNAcentral lists this ribosomal RNA (327 nucleotides) under uncultured eukaryote. RNAcentral's name for it is "partial 18S ribosomal RNA". It matches the Rfam family "Eukaryotic small subunit ribosomal RNA", at positions 1470 to 1796 of the family's 1831-position model. The record is from RNAcentral.
CCCUUAGAUGUUCUGGGCUGCACGCGCGCUACACUGAUGCGCUCAACGAGUUUACGACCUUGCCCGGAAGGGUUGGGUAAUCUUUUUAAAACGCAUCGUGAUGGGGAUAGAUUAUUGCAAUUAUUAAUCUUUAACGAGGAAUUCCUAGUAAGCGCGAGUCAUCAGCUCGUGCUGAUUACGUCCCUGCCCUUUGUACACACCGCCCGUCGCUCCUACCGAUUGAAUGGCUUAGUGAGGCUCCCGGACCGACCGCCAGUGGCUUUACGGCUGCCGAUGGUUGGAAAGUUAGACAAACUUGGUCAUUUAGAGGAAGUAAAAGUCGUAACA